UGCAACAGAAAGCGGAGCGGCUGCAGGGCCACAUCGGACGAGCAGCGGCACGAAGCAGGUGCAGGUCGCGGUUCUGGUCGGAAGGAGCCAGCAGGGGGGCGUAGGAGUGGUGGUGCGGCUGGCGGCGGGAGAAGGGAGACAGGGCGGCCCCGGAGGCGGAGCUCGACCGCGAGCGUGGCACGCAUAGGCUGUGGGUGUUGUGGUGCAGCACGUACGACGCACUGCAAGGGGAUCCGGCGGUGGCGCACAUGGCCAUGGGGGCAGCAUGAGGGGCGCAGUGGGAGAAGAGGGAGAGAUGGGAGAAGAGAAUGGAGGAAUGGGAGGAGGAGAGGGAGAGAGGUGCGGCGAACAGGCGUGGCUCGCCGGCCGCCGGCGACGUCUGUCGAGGCCACCGAAGGUGAGAGAUCAGAAGCACACGACAGCCCUCCCCAUAGCGGCGGCGCGCCUCCUAAGAUCGUGAUGCAAGGCUCAGCAUUUGUCGAGGAGGGCAUCCAGCAGCAGCUAUGCAUGCUCGCCUACAGUAUGGAUGAAUCAGAGCAUGGAGCGGCAACGGUCCUAGCAGGAGCAGGGCAGCCACGACGUCUCCUUACAUCAACUUUCAGAAACGAAGGGAAGAUAGCCUAUAAAGGGAGGACAAAAUAUUUGUGGCCAGGGACGACCAAAAAGCAUCGGGGUGUGCUGGUUCACAAGGUUGGAUACGUGCCAUCUACUUUGAUUCCGGCUAAAAUAUAAAAUUCAUUACUUAAGUGGUUUGAAAGAUUGGUUCUCUAGCAAGCAGGGAAUUUCCCUCACUGUAUGGGGCUGAAAUUGAAUCUAUUAUUGAUGUUUUUGUUACACCAUCAUUAUCCAUUCCAAGUAUGUACUCUUAUUUCCUUUUAUUUGAGUUGUCCUUUUUAAAACUACUGCUCCAAUGGCUCAUAUGGUAGUUCUUGUACCCUAUUCUUCACAUUUUGUCAGGCAGUUGAUUUAUUAGGUUGGUGCACUGCCAUGCUAUGUGUCUUGAUAUUUUUAUGCUUCUGGCAACAUUUGUUUUUCAUUUAAGUCGCAAGUGGUCUGAUCCAUGACAUUUGAUAUCAGGAAACUAUUUCCAUUGUGACAGUACUAAUACAGGUUUUUUGCUCUAU
Triticum dicoccoides is the source of this 1124-nucleotide long non-coding RNA. RefSeq lists it as uncharacterized. The transcript has 3 exons. Lineage: Eukaryota; Viridiplantae; Streptophyta; Magnoliopsida; Poales; Poaceae. The record is from RefSeq and is a predicted model, not a curated record.